Molecule: ribosomal RNA, 223 nt
Filed under: uncultured bacterium
Lineage: Bacteria
Description: partial 16S ribosomal RNA
Rfam family: Bacterial small subunit ribosomal RNA
Source: RNAcentral
GAGCAACCUACCUCUUGGCGGGGGAUAGCCGGCCUAACGGCCGGGUAAUACCGCGUAUUUCGCUAGAGCCGCAUGACUUUAGCGUGAAAGUGGCCGCAAGGUCACACCAGGAGAGGGGCUCGCGGCCUAUCAGCUUGUUGGUGAGGUAACGGCUCACCAAGGCUACGACGGGUAGCUGGUCUGAGAGGAUGAUCAGCCACAUUGGGACUGAGAUACGGCCCAG